CUCAUAAGUUAUAUUCCUUAUAAUGUAUAAUUAGAAUACGAAUCACUGUAUAACAGAAAAACUAGUUGAAUCUUUUCCCUUCUUUUUUCCACAUCCACAUUCAAUAUGAAUAAUUCCUUUUGAAAUAACACCUCAUUGGUGCAUUCCACUUCCCCAGUAAAAAUGCAUUGUCAAGAAUUAUCAUAAAAGGUAGCUUCAUAACUCAAAAUCCUGCAAACGUCCUUGUUAGUAAUGCUUUAUCUAAAUACCAUUCCCAAUCUGAGUGGAUUAAUCCCAUCCGUUUGCGCGAGUGCCAGGUGUGACACCCAUGGUUAAUCCAAAAAAAAAAA
Molecule: unclassified non-coding RNA, 329 nt
Filed under: Hevea brasiliensis (rubber tree)
Lineage: Eukaryota; Viridiplantae; Streptophyta; Magnoliopsida; Malpighiales; Euphorbiaceae
Source: RNAcentral